This is a long non-coding RNA of Prinia subflava (tawny-flanked prinia), 7371 nucleotides long. RefSeq lists it as uncharacterized. The transcript has 3 exons. The record is from RefSeq and is a predicted model, not a curated record. Lineage: Eukaryota; Metazoa; Chordata; Aves; Passeriformes; Cisticolidae.
GGCGCCGCCGGGGCGGGGGCCGGGGCUGGGGCCGGGGGUGCCGGCAGCAGCAGCAGCAGCAGCAGCAGCAGCAGGUGCUGCCGGGCGCCCCGGAGCCGAAAACCCCGCGCCCGUGGGCGGGCGGGCUGAGGAACCAGCCGGGACCCGGCACAGCCCGAGCGUGUCUGUGCCUUCACAAAGCCCGGUGCCGAAAAGCCGUCCCUCGAGCGGGAGCGUAGGGAAACCUCUUAAUCGUUCCUAACUACUUAAUGACAGAGCCUUUAAAUGGGUCCGCGUUGCCGUCUCGUUCCCUGUGGGUGCUGCGGGAGCUGGGGGUUGAUUCCAGCGUUGGCUGGCCGGCGCGGAGGUGCCGCCCGGAGCGCGCUCCCGCCCGCUGCUCAACCCUGCGCCCGUGAAUGCGGCUCUUGUUCGAGCGCCCUGCCUCAAAGGAUGAAGCAGCCUGAAAGGUGACAAGGACUGACUUAUUCAGAGACCGGUCUCUCUGCUGCCCUUGUUCCCCACCCAGGGCUCUUCAGGAGAUGCAUAAAUGAGAUUCGAGACUUACUUGGGUUUGUUUGUUUGCUCUUUACCUUCCUGAUCUCUUCCAUUGAAGAUAUUGGAGGUGGGGUGGAUAAAUAGGGGACUGAAUUACCUGGAAUGCCAGUUGAUUUGUCUCUUUCAAGGCUAAGCCUUUUUCAGAGGCCGAACAAAGUAAAGAUGGGCAUCUUUCAGACAAGGACAAGUGACUGCCAAUGAAACAAAGUUGUUAACUACUUCUAAUAUCUUUCAUAUAAAAACUUGACAGUGUAAAUUAAGGCUUAUACUUGUGAAAUAGGUAUUCCUAGAUUUUUAUUUUUUUAUAUCUUUAAUUAUGCAUCCUCUAAAUUCAGCAGGUAUAAAUUGAGCUGAAAAUGUAGGACCACUUUCCACAGCUGACUAAGAUGCCUCAGACUGUGAGUUAUGGAUAUUGCCACUACAACAUUAAAAAAGAAUUGAGGACAGGCAGCACAGAAUCAUUUAGGUUGGAAAAGGCCUGUGAGAUCAUAGAGUCCAACCUUUGACCAAACACCAACUCAUCAAGUGGACCCUGGCACUGAGUGCCACGUUCAGUUGUUUCUUGAACGCCUCCAGGGAUGGUGACUCCACCACCUUCCUGGGUAGUCCAUUCCAAUGCUUGACAACCCUUUCUGCAAAGAAAUUCUUCCUGAUGUCCAGCUGCAUUGCCCCACAGCUUUUCUCUGUGUGUUUCUGUACAUAAAACCAAAUGUAAGCAGGCAUGCUUUUCUGUUGUGUUUUCUUUUUUUUUUUUCCCCUGUUUAACCAUUAAAUUGUUUGAACUUUCUUGGACCAUAGUUAAACAAAGCUGAUAGUGCAUACACUGCAACUCUGCUGAUGGAGCAAUAGCAAUCGAUCAGAAGCUAUAAUUUUUCCUGCUAUGAACUUAAUCCUUGAGUGUUCCUAGUAUGCACUCAUUCUGUUACCUUAGAACUAAAUGUUUGUGUUACCUUACAUUUUACCUUCUGCUACUAGGUGUGUUUUUGGCAAGCUCUGCCCUAGAGACCAUGGCAUGCAAGUAGUUUUGCAAGUUAUCAACAGCUUGUUCUGUGCUUUGGUUCAUACUGUUUAUAUGGUUUUUGCAAGAUACCUUCUGUAGCCAGUGAAGAUACAGUGUACUAGUGACUUUGUACAGAUUUCCUUUUUAAAAACAAGUUGUUGGUUUUGCUAUUAAUACUAAUUAAACACAAUGAAUUGUUUUGCUUUUCUCUGAAUGCAGUUGACUUUCAGAACCGUUGUAUUCCUUGCUGGCAGUGCAAGUAGAUGUCAACAUAGUAAUAUACAACCCAGAAACAAGCUGGAUUACAAAUGACAAUAAAUAAUCUGGUCAGCUGGGGAGCAAAGGAGAAUGCUUUUGUACUUUGGUGCUGUGGAUCUGGUGAUCACAGUGCCUGUGAUUUGCAGAGGUUUUAUUUUGUCCUGGCCCUUGUUUGAUUCUGUGCAUUGAAUACAUGUGAAAGUGUAGUUAAAUUUCUUCCUGGAGUACCUUGGAGUAAUAGUCUGUCUUUAGGCUUUGUUUAGUUCACACUGAGCUCAGAUCACAAACUGAGUCUGAUCUGCAGUAUGCAACAGAAUGUAGUACGAGGACAAAUGUAAGAAUUGAACCCUUCAGUUAAAUUAAAAUCCCACUUGUGGUCACACCUGAAGCACCUGUGGGGCUACAGACAUCCUCGGGAGAGAGCCACACUUUGAGGCAGAUUGAACUUUUAAAAUAAGCAUGCAAUAUGUACUCUGCAUUUUUGCUAGCUCUGUCUGCUGAGGGGAUGCCUUGGGCUUGAAGGAGUUUUGUCUUCCUUUAUUUUCUGUCUUGGUUCUGUCAGGUCCCUCAUCAGCACUGCUGAUUGCUAGAUCUUUUCUUUAAAACACCAGGUUCUUUAGCAGGGAACUUCAGGCUGGCUGUUUGUGUUCUGUGUCCUCCCAUCUUACAUUAUCCCGUCUUUAUGUUGGAGUUUUUAGAUUUUACUCAGUUACGUACUUACCAACACUUGAAUUGUAGGCAGGAGAGAUUGUUCCUAGGCAUUUAUUGCCUUAGUAGCUCUAUUUACAGUCAAAUCAGUAAGGAAGUUACUUUCUUUUUUUUUUUUUUUUCCCUGCAUUGUGUUGUGUGAACUCGAGUGGAUCAAAGACACUUGGGUGCAAAAUAGCUUCUGAAAUGUUUUAAAAUCAAACCUUAUACACUGAUUUUCUCAAGAGAAAGAAAUGUGAGUGAUAAAAAGGAAGUAGGAAACAAAUAAUAGGUUGUGUUUCUUUUUCUAACUAUAUGCGUUUCUGUAGUGUUUCUUACGAUGGACUGUUUUUUAAAAUCUCUGUUGUGGGAUCAAUUGCUACAGAUCAGCCAGUCUUUAGGACUAUAUUUCUGCCUUAAUGAAUGGGUCAUUACACACAGAAGACACAGUUUGUGACUGAGCAAACUGGCAAAUACUAAAAUGACUUUGUUGUGUCGGCAUCUUGCACAUACUGUGUAAGCAGUUUCCAACUGCUGAAAAACAAAACCCAGACCUGUGUGUCUCUUUGAGGUUGCAAGAGGUGCAAAAAUGUCCCAAGUUGGACCUAUCACAAGUCUCUGAAUUCUGAUGCUUCCUAACAAUAGUUAACAUUCAUUUGGACUGUAAAUUAAGUAAUAAGAUUGUCAGAUAAUGGCAGCGAGUGAGUAAUAGCAGAUGGAACUUGAAAAUAAUUCUGCAAAGGGUUGUGAAGGUCCCGAGGUAGAAAGCAUUGUCAGAUGUGAUACAGCAUUUUUUAUGGCCUGGCUAAAACACCAAAUUAUCAGUGAUGACUUCUCUGUGUGACCUCCAAAUGCUCUUAUUGCCGGUCCUCUUUGCUACUCCCAGCCAAAAGGAGUAAAAAAGCUUUGGAGGAAAGUUGCUCAAGAAUCAUGUUUGGCCCCUCUCUAGAGAAACAGCGGGUUUUAAGUAGGUUAGUUCUGGCCUGUAAUGGAAGUGAGGUUGAUGAGUCUCCUCCAGGCACCAAAGAAACAGGAGAGGUGUUUGGGGCCAAGCAGCUGAACAAAGAGAAGGGAUCUAAUCAAGCUCACUGUGAUACUGACUUCUUUCUCCCUUAGCCUCUCUUGCAUUAGUUGGGCUGGAACCCGCAACCUACCACAUGCUCAGCUCUUACAGUUGCUGUUAACCAGCUGCAGACUGUAAUGCAAAUAUGUUAAAAUCAAGUUAAAUAGUUGAUCUGUGAUAACUUGCCAGUUAAGGCUUCAGGCAUGUCUAAGUGGUGUGUAUGUGACUGUGACUGCGAGAAUGACCAGAGGGCAAUCAGCAUUUGCCUUGUUGGCACAAGGGUUUUUGAAGGGCACUGGAGUUUAUGCUUCACUCUUUCUUAUUUUUAUCAGUGCACUCUGAAAAUUUUUCACCUGUGUCACUAUCAAUUGCCUUUUUAAAAUAUGACUUGCCCUCUUGCAACUUUUUUUAUGGCUUUUCAGGUGGAAGGCAAGGGAAGGGAGAGAGAGCAAAGUAAAAUAUAGGUCAAACUUGAGCAUAUAGACACCUUGAGAGUGCCUUGGCUUCAUUUGCAUGUUUUAACAAUGCUUGUUCAUCUCUGCUACAGUUAGACAUUCGGUUGUUUGGACAGAUGUCCUCCCAGCUGACUGCUUCUUGUCUACCAGAGGAGAAACACUGUCAUCAAAUAGUUUCACACUAGACAUUGACUGGGUGCUUUCAGCUGAAUUCUGUGCAUCUUAGGAAAACGGUCUCACUUGAGGUGACUGCAGCUUUUCUGUGAUUUUGUUGACUCCCUUAGCAUCACUAUGUGCACAACUUUUAAGCUUGAGGGUUCUCCACGUUGAAAUGUAGGAGUGCUUCCUCUGUCUCAGCUUCUGAGAAGGUAAUAGAUGCUGCUGAGCACUCACAGAUGUCAGUUGCAGGAAAUCCGGGCUAGGAAGGAAAAGAGUAACAGAAGGCAACAACUGUGGUACUUCUGCCAGUUGAUCCCUCUUGCCUUUAAUACAGUAGCAAGAGGAUGACAAAGUGGUUUGGCUUUCAUACAUCCUCAGGGACAGGGCAGUUGAGAAGUGAAGGGGCACAGAGUCUGUUGAUUAUCUGCCACACAUCAAGGCUGUACAUUACUCUUUGCCUGCAGCUUGCCUUGUGUUAGCUGUUUAGAGGAAACCUGCAAGUGUUUAGGAAAUUUUGUGAAUCUGAAAGUGUGCGUGGUUUGGUAGUCUUAAAGCGAAAAGAUUUUUCAGUUGACUAAGCUUACUUUUUCACUUAAAAUCCUUUCUACAGGAUAUAUGCAAUUUCUAGUUUACCAGUGGGGUUUGACCAGGAAUUAGAUGUGGUACAGGACUGAAAAGAUUAUUGGAGAAUUUUUGAAGUAGUAUCUGUUCUGAUUUCUGUCAGUUAGUGGCUGGAAGCUCCCUUGCUAAGAAUGCCCCUUCUGUAUACUUACUAGUAUAGUGCUGAAAUAGUAUUAAAAUAGCAGAAAAUUGUGUUCCAGUGCAUACGUUGUGUGUAUGGUUUUUAAUGUUACAGAGUUUCCUGCAAAAAAAAAAAAAAAAAAAAAAAAAGGGGGUUUAUAUAUAUGCUGACACAACAUUAAGAAAUACUCUAAUGCACAGCCAGCUCUUAGCAGCAAACUGAUGGUAUUGCCAGUCUAAUUCACUGACCCAGCAGGAGAAAUGGACUAGGCAAACCAAGCCAUUACAGGUCUGAGAGUGUCUGGGUCAGACUGUUUCCUAGUCUGUUAUCUCAGUUCACUGAUCACGUCUUUCUAGCCUGCCACAAUUCUGCCACCGCAUCUCGGUAUUUGGAAACAUUUGUUCAGAGCAGCCUCUACUCAUUCCCCAGUUCUCUUCAAAGAUUCGUCUUGAGUUAAUGUAGUGUUGAAGAGAUGUAUAGUAAGUAACAUAAAAACACUUUAUUUCAGGUUAAGCCCUAAAUACAUAAUAACAGAAAUCUCAAAGCUGAGAGCCUUUUUAUGACAGGUUUUUUGUCCUUGUUAGACCCCUUAAGAUAAGCCCAUCACCUUGCUAUUCAUACAAAGCAUCCUGUCCCUGGUGACAUUGGAAGCAUGCCUUGCCUUGCUUCCUCCUCCUGCUGCCUGAUACAGAAAUGAUAUAGGGAGAUAGACUGGUGUGGUUGAGGUUAUGUAAAGUUUUUGGUUGACCCUGGAAACCUGGUUGGUUGUUUGGCUUUACAAGGUGGCUUAGUGAAGGUACAGCCCUCAAGAGUUAAUAGCCACCAGGGUGUAUUUUUCUCUACAGAACAGGAGUUCUGUAGUUCAAAAGUCUACCUGAUUAAAAAUGUUGUUACAAGUGGUACUCUGCUCCACCCAAGUCUGAUCACUUUUGGUUUUUUUAUUUGAUGUUGUUAGGACAAGCAAGAUUUUUAUUCUAGCAUGUGCAAGCUCACUGAAUUGUCAGACAAAUAAGUUGCUUUACACGGACCUGCUUUUUUUUUUUUUUUUUUUUUUUUUUUUUAAGCACCCGUUUCCCCUUAAGACAGGUUGAUAAAUAGGAAAUGAGGGGUGUGAUGCUACUAGCAUGCUUCGGCAGCAUCUUCUAGCAUGUCUUCAAAGAAACAAGACCUUUGAAGUUGUAUUGAAGUGUGGGGAUGAAAUACAAAAGUGCUUGUGAAACCAGAAAUCUGUGACAUUUUCCUCCUACUGCCUAAGAAACUGAAUAGGUAUUAGAGUGUUCUAAACAAGCAGCUUUCUGUAAAUUUCUUAACCUGAAGCAUAUUUUAAUGCAUGGCUCUAAAUAGGAGAGAAUGUAGUGUGUUACUUUAUGCUUCAAUUCACUCACUGAGUUGAAAAUCUUAUUGGGCCUCUGUAAGCAAAGCUGUCAAGCUUGGAUUACUUGUGUUUUGACUUGUCCUAAUUAACUAUUCUUGUACACUGAGAGCAUGGCAGGUUGGGGGGGAGGGGGUGGCGGGAAGCUUCAUUUUAAACUCAAUUUCCUCUUCUACUUCUCCUGUGUAAUAUCAACAUUUUCUGUCCAAUCCCUCUGCAUCUAGCAAAUUCAUCUGAAUAAACUGUGUUUUUAUUGACAAUAGGACUGUUUUGGUUUCAUUUAAAUCUGCUUAAAUCAAUUGCAACUGAACUGAAAUGUAUUAUUUUGGAAACAGACUGCUGCAUGGGUUACCAUCUGUUUAUGCAACCGGUACCAGCUCUGUUGCAAGAGUCUCAUGCAAACACUGUCUGGUUCUAACCAUGCCUCACAUAGGUCACCAGCUGGUGUGAGGGCUUGAUUAAACCCUUGGCUCUUCUGCUUCCACUCUCUUAUCUCUGAAAUGGGGACAACAGUGUGUUCCAAAGCCCUUCUAAAGGGGAGUUGGCCACAUUAGUCACCAUGUAUGUAUUCAGAUAGGAAGGAAGCCUAAUCUGGUAUUAUAGAUUAUUCCAAUGUCUUAAUUUCAGCUGAUGCAACAUAAAAGUUGUUGAAAUACUUAUUUUUUCUUUUCCCCAUCCAAGGCAAAGUGUGUUGUAAGCAUACUGGAACAGAAGCCCACAAAAUUAAGCUAUACCAGUGAAAGCUGUGACACAGUCUGAUAGGUUUUAUUUCUGAAUGAGAAUGAUUGUGGGCCAGUGAAAAGCAGGGACACUCAGCAUCUGCAGAACAGCUGCAGUUCUCAUGCAGCAAUAACCUUUAGCUAAUUUGUCUUCAAAACAUGUCUAUGUGGAACUUGGGAAAGUGAAAAGGAAACAUUUCUAUUACUGCAUUAAUCAAAAGAGCAAGAAAAUGCUGGUAAAGCACUGAAUAUGCUUUUCAUCAAAAUAGUUUAUUAAGUAGUUCAUAAAACUGGAAUCUAGUUCUGAAAUUAAUAGGCGGAAAACCCAUAUAAACUACUAAAUUCUGUUGUCAUGAUCUGUCAAAAACGCCAGAUGCCUCUU